This 500-nucleotide ribosomal RNA is filed under the name uncultured Acidobacteriota bacterium. RNAcentral describes it as "bacterial SSU rRNA". It matches the Rfam family "Bacterial small subunit ribosomal RNA", at positions 13 to 529 of the family's 1533-position model. Lineage: Bacteria; Pseudomonadati; Acidobacteriota. The record is from RNAcentral.
UUGAUCCUGGCUCAGAAUCAACGCUGGCGGCGUGCCUAACACAUGCAAGUCGAACGAGAAAGUGGAGCAAUCCAUGAGUAAAGUGGCGACCGGGUGAGUUACACGUGACUAACCUACCUUCGAGUGGGGGAUAACCUCGGGAAACCGGGUCUAAUACCGCAUAACAUCUUUGGAGUGGAAAUUCUGGAGAUCAAAGGAGUAAUUCGCUGGAAGAGGGGGUCGCGGCUGAUUAGCUAGUUGGCGGGGUAAUGGCCCACCAAGGCUUAGAUCGGUAGCCGGCCUGAGAGGGCGCACGGCCAUACUGGAACUGAAACACGGUCCAGACUCCUACGGGAGGCAGCAGUGGGGAUUUUUGCGCAAUGGGGGAAACCCUGACGCAGCAACGCCGCGUGGAGGAUGUAGUCCCUUGGGACGUAAACUCCUUUCGACCCGGACGAUAAUGACGGUACUGGUGGAAGAAGCCCCGGCUAACUUCGUGCCAGCAGCCGCGGUAAUAAGGU